Molecule: ribosomal RNA, 198 nt
Filed under: uncultured bacterium
Lineage: Bacteria
Description: partial 16S ribosomal RNA
Rfam family: Bacterial small subunit ribosomal RNA
Source: RNAcentral
GGACUGGAGUCUGCAACCCGACUCCACGAAGCUGGAUUCGCUAGUAAUCGCGCAUCAGCCACGGCGCGGUGAAUACGUUCCCGGGCCUUGUACACACCGCCCGUCAAGCCAUGGGAGCCGGGGGUACCUGAAGUGCGUAACCGCGAGGAGCGCCCUAGGGUAAAACUGGUGACUGGGGCUAAGUCGUAACAAGGUACC